Molecule: long non-coding RNA, 1002 nt
Filed under: Salvia miltiorrhiza (redroot sage)
Lineage: Eukaryota; Viridiplantae; Streptophyta; Magnoliopsida; Lamiales; Lamiaceae
Description: long non-coding RNA (SMIL_LNC001340)
Source: RNAcentral
CCCUUAAGUAAACAUCCACAGAUGGCAGCUGGCGACAUUGCGCCGUCGCCGCGCACCUCAAAUCAAAUGCUCAGUUAUACAACAUACUUCCUAUCCACCGAACCUCCAGGAUUCCACCGCCACCGUCCGUUCUUGGCAACAACCAGAGGGACCACCGCCAAAAAAAUUAAUAAUAAUAAUAAUAAUAAUAAUAAUAAUAAUAAUAAUAAUAAUAAUAAUAAAUAAUAAUAUAAUAAUAAUAAUAAUAAUAAAAUAGCCGCAGUCACAGCUCGUCAAACUCGCCCCCUCAUUCCUCUUUUUCUCUAACUGCUCUAGGUACUCCGGCGACAUCCCAUGGAAAAUCGAGCCACAUCGAGUUGGGAUAACACUCGAAGAGAAAAGAGGGAGCCGCCACUUCAGUUUCAACUCCUAGCAAAAUCGCCGGAGUAUCUCACCUUCUCUGUCGUCUCCCAUUCAAUAUCAGUCACCGCCGUGACGCCGUCGCCUAUUGAACGGCAGCGCCACCCAGAUCCCCAAAUCGAAACCGCCGCUGCCUCCUCUUAUCCUCUCUUCUCCCCCGCACACGCGCACGGCGAACCUUCACCUCUCUCUUCAGCCGGAAACCACCACGGUGGCUCCUCCUCUGGCGAAGCAAUGAACGACCACCGUUCAUCCAACAGCUAGACCACACCUGAAAAGCCCGACGCCCCGUCGCCGCUCCCUCCGUCCUCCGGCGGCCAAUCUACAGCCGAUGCCCUCUUCCUCCCACAAUCUUCUCUUCACCCUCUACAAACCUCAGAAAACCACAAAUCCCUCGCAGAAAACCAUAGAUCCGCCACCUUCUUCUCCAUCGAUUAUCCGGCGAAGGACGUUGCCUCCGACCACCGCUCGCCCGACGACCACAGCCCCUGAGCCGCGCUUGAAAAACUCUAGGCACCAAUCGCCGUUCGAUCUCCUCUCAUCCAGCUGUCUGAACUGCUUCUGCUGGACGGAAAGAAAGAGGCGAGAGAGAGAGAAUAAGAC